UACGGAGAGUGCAAACGUUGCUCGGAAUCAUUGGGCGUAAAGCGCACGUAGGCGGACCGCUAAGUCGGAUGUGAAAGCCCUCGGCUUAACCGAGGAAGUGCAUUCGAAACUGACAGUCUUGAGUAUGGAAGAGGGUCGCGGAAUUCCCGGUGUAGAGGUGAAAUUCGUAGAUAUCGGGAGGAACACCAGUGGCGAAGGCGGCGACCUGGGCCAAUACUGACGCUGAGGUGCGAAAGCGCGGGGAGCAAACAGG
RNAcentral lists this ribosomal RNA (253 nucleotides) under uncultured bacterium. RNAcentral's name for it is "partial 16S ribosomal RNA". It matches the Rfam family "Bacterial small subunit ribosomal RNA", at positions 524 to 776 of the family's 1533-position model. The record is from RNAcentral.